RNAcentral lists this ribosomal RNA (502 nucleotides) under uncultured bacterium. RNAcentral describes it as "bacterial SSU rRNA". It matches the Rfam family "Bacterial small subunit ribosomal RNA", at positions 903 to 1397 of the family's 1533-position model. The record is from RNAcentral.
AAAGGAAUUGACGGGGGCCCGCACAAGCAGCGGAGCAUGUGGUUUAAUUCGAAGCAACGCGAAAAACCUUACCAGAACUUGACAUCCCGCUGAAUAGUAUGGAGACAUACUAGGCUUACGUAAGUAAGACAGCGGUGACAGGUGGUGCAUGGUUGUCGUCAGCUCGUGUCGUGAGAUGUUGGGUUAAGUCCCGCAACGAGCGCAACCCUUAUUGUUAGUUACCAGCGGGUCAUGCCGGGAACUCUAACAAGACUGCCGUGGACAACACGGAGGAAGGUGGGGAUGACGUCAAAUCAUCAUGCCCCUUACGUUCUGGGCUACACACGUGCUACAAUGGUCUAAAACAAAGAGAUGCAAUACCGUAAGGUUCAGCAAACCUCACAAACUAGAUCUCAGUUCGGAUUGUGGGCUGCAACUCGCCCACAUGAAGCCGGAGUUGCUAGUAAUCGCGAAUCAGCAUGUCGCGGUGAAUGCGUUCCCGGGCCUUGUACACACCGCCCGU